UGUUGUUUUUCUGAAAAUCAAUUUAAGAACUGUUCAUUUUUAGUUGUUAAGACUUUAUCGGCUUUCUGCUAUUUUUUGGAUUUUUCUUGAAUGCACUUUUCAGUUAACAAGUCAACAUCAAUUUCUUUUGUUGUAAAACGGUAAGAGGAAGGUGGCUUUAUCUUCGGAUGAAGUGUUUAUAGCCUCUUACUUCUGCAACCGGAGAGAUUGAGGUCUGCAGCGUAGACCCUUCGGGGUUAGAUACUUCUAUGCUAAGCUAUAGUCCUAUAUAGACAACUUGUUGACUAUGUUCGAUCCUGUAACUUACUCGUAGAUACUAUUUUACCUAC
This 329-nucleotide ribosomal RNA is filed under the name Neocallimastigales sp. RNAcentral describes it as "partial large subunit ribosomal RNA". Lineage: Eukaryota; Fungi; Neocallimastigomycota; Neocallimastigomycetes; Neocallimastigales. The record is from RNAcentral.